Molecule: long non-coding RNA, 1014 nt
Organism: Panicum virgatum (switchgrass)
Lineage: Eukaryota; Viridiplantae; Streptophyta; Magnoliopsida; Poales; Poaceae
Exons: 2
Source: RefSeq, a predicted model, not a curated record
GUGCUCGUUUUCGUCUGGAUCAGGCCGUAGACACGAUCGAGACAAAAGAAUACCCGUCACCCCUCACUUGUCUUCUCUUGCUGCAGUUGUGGCUUGACGCGAUCCUGACAAAACCAUACCCGUCGGUCGUGGCUUCUUCUGCUCCUCGCCUUGGCAGAAUUUGCAUGCGGUGUGUCUGGACUCGCCAUACUGCAAUGGAAGGUCCUCAAUACGAGCCAUCCAGUUGGGUUCAUGUCCACCACAGAGAAGGGAAGGUCACCAACGCUUAGCUCUCACACACAUCUCCAGGUCUCCUGCAAAGGAGUCAGGAUGACCCAGGAGUGGCUCAGUUUUAGCAAGAGCAGAAGCCAUUCGAAAAUCGAUCGAAAUGGAAGCCAUGGAUGAGUGGAGGAAAAUGGUGUCAAUAAUAUAGAAUUUACAUAAAGGAGCAGGCAGUCACAUGCCAGAAGGCCGAUCACUGACUGCACCUAUCUCUAUAGCUAAUAUGACCUAUUGCUCCACACUCCACAGGUUAUUGAUGAGAAAACUACCAAGCCACCAAAGUAAAAGUCAUCAUCCAAGAUAGUUAGCACAAGAUUAGAGGGGGAUUAUUUUCUAGUAUAAGCUAGAUAAAUUGCCCAUAUAAGAUGUCACUUCAUUGUGCUUAGAUCAAGCGAUGAACAGAGGAUUGCACGGGUUCACAUAUAUAGGCCCUUGCUAUUGCAGCUCAUGCUCCACAACCACAAUAAUGAUGGCGCUAAGUGAUAGGAAGAGAGGCUUGAAGAGCAACUUGCCCAUCCUGCUUGGUUCCCAACUUGGUGGUGGUAAUCCAAGAACCUUGAUUGGGAGGGUUUUAGUGAUUAGGAGCAUAUUCAUACGAUUUAUUCAUCGGUACGAUAACAUGGGAUGAAUACUUUACUUGUGCUAAGUUUGUACCUCUAAGCCACACUAGAUAAACCUCGGAGCACAUCACACUACUGGAAUCGACCUGUUUCCCUAGGGUCAAAACACUAGGGAAAUGAUAGAAAAACCCUA